AAAAGAACGGAUCGAGCAGACAAUUUUAAACGCUCGCUGCUCCAAAUCGCCCCGUAGUUCGUUCCGGUAACUACUUCACAAAGCUGCCACCGCCAAGGCCGCCGCCGCUAUGAGUUUUAUCGCGACCGCCAAGACACAGGUAAUAUCAAUGGCCGUUGGUUCCGCCAACGGCCCUCCCCAGCAUCCUCCAGAAGGAUCCGGAGAAUAGCAUCGGUGAGGACAGUUCCGAGCAGCGGUCGAAGGUUUAAGUUUGAUUGACGCGGUCAUGCCGAAGGUGGUGGCCAUCCGGCAGAACAUGCCGAAUCACCAGCAAAAGACGAUUAAACCGGAGGUUGCGGAAACCAACGGGACGACGAGCAGCGGAAGGAAAUGAAGUUUUGGUUAUAUUACCAUAAUUUAAAAAUAUAUAUACAUUGAAAAUUUAAA
Molecule: long non-coding RNA, 426 nt
Organism: Culex quinquefasciatus (southern house mosquito)
Lineage: Eukaryota; Metazoa; Arthropoda; Insecta; Diptera; Culicidae
Exons: 2
Source: RefSeq, a predicted model, not a curated record